GAUGAAGAACGUAGCGAAAUGCGAUAAGUAAUGCGAAUUGCAGAAUCCGUGAGUCAUCGAACCUUUGAACGCACAUUGCGCCCUCUGGUAUUCCGGAGGGCAUGCCUGUUCGAGCGUCAUUAUCACCCCUCAAGCCCGGCUUGUUGUUGGAUGCAGCGCUUAUCCCGCUCCUCCCAAAGAUAAUGACGGCGUCUGCGACGACUCCUGUACACUGAGCUUUCGGGCACGUACACGGCUAGAAGUCCAGACCCGGUCGCCGUCCCCCCCGCGGGGACACCCAUUACCACAAGGUUGACCUCGGAUCAGGUAGGAAUACCCGCUGAACUUAAGCAUAUCAAUAAGCGGAGGA
Molecule: unclassified non-coding RNA, 349 nt
Filed under: soil metagenome
Description: partial contains 5.8S ribosomal RNA, internal transcribed spacer 2, and large subunit ribosomal RNA
Rfam family: 5.8S ribosomal RNA (bases 1-119)
Source: RNAcentral